UUGGAGAAGUAAAAGUCGUAACAAGGUUUCCGUAGGUGAACCUGCGGAAGGAUCAUUAAUGAAUUCACUAUGGAGUUGUUGCUGGCCUCUAGGGGCAUGUGCACGCUUCACUAGUCUUUCAACCACCUGUGAACUUUUGAUAGAUCUGUGAAGUCGUCUUUCAAGUCGUCAGACUUGGUUUGCUGGGAUUUAAACGUCUCGGUGUGACAACACAGUCUAUUUACUUAACACACCCCAAAUGUAUGUCUACGAAUGUCAUUUAAUGGGCCUUGUGCCUAUAAACCAUAAUACAACUUUCAACAACGGAUCUCUUGGCUCUCGCAUCGAUGAAGAACGCAGCGAAAUGCGAUAAGUAAUGUGAAUUGCAGAAUUCAGUGAAUCAUCGAAUCUUUGAACGCACCUUGCGCCCCUUGGUAUUCCGAGGGGCAUGCCUGUUUGAGUGUCAUUAAAUUCUCAAACUCACUUUGGUUUUUUUCCAAUUGUGAUGUUUGGAUUGUUGGGGGCUGCUGGCCUUGACAGGUCGGCUCCUCUUAAAUGCAUUAGCAGGACUUCUCAUUGCCUCUGCGCAUGAUGUGAUAAUUAUCACUCAUCAAUAGCACGCAUGAAUAGAGUCCAGCUCUCCAAUCGUCCGCAAGGACA
RNAcentral lists this ribosomal RNA (639 nucleotides) under Pleurotus pulmonarius. RNAcentral describes it as "eukaryotic LSU rRNA". The stretch from base 292 to 445 matches the Rfam family "5.8S ribosomal RNA". Lineage: Eukaryota; Fungi; Basidiomycota; Agaricomycetes; Agaricales; Pleurotaceae. The record is from RNAcentral.